RNAcentral lists this ribosomal RNA (434 nucleotides) under uncultured Lachnospiraceae bacterium. RNAcentral's name for it is "partial 16S ribosomal RNA". It matches the Rfam family "Bacterial small subunit ribosomal RNA", at positions 341 to 792 of the family's 1533-position model. RNAcentral also lists the same sequence under 1 other name. The record is from RNAcentral. Lineage: Bacteria; Bacillati; Bacillota; Clostridia; Lachnospirales; Lachnospiraceae.
ACGGAAGGCAGCAGUGGGGAAUAUUGCACAAUGGGGGAAACCCUGAUGCAGCGACGCCGCGUGAGUGAAGAAGUAUUUCGGUAUGUAAAGCUCUAUCAGCAGGAAAGAAAAUGACGGUACCUGACUAAGAAGCCCCGGCUAACUACGUGCCAGCAGCCGCGGUAAUACGUAGGGGGCAAGCGUUAUCCGGAUUUACUGGGUGUAAAGGGAGCGUAGACGGCUUUGCAAGUCUGAAGUGAAAGCCCGGGGCUCAACCCCGGAACUGCUUUGGAAACUGUAGAGCUAGAGUGCAGGAGAGGUAAGUGGAAUUCCUAGUGUAGCGGUGAAAUGCGUAGGUAUUAGGAGGAACACCAGUGGCGAAGGCGGCUUACUGGACUGUAACUGACGUUGAGGCUCGAAGGCGUGGGGAGCAAACAGGAUUAGAUACCCUGGUA